Musa acuminata AAA Group (dessert banana) is the source of this 686-nucleotide long non-coding RNA. RefSeq lists it as uncharacterized. The record is from RefSeq and is a predicted model, not a curated record. NCBI's taxonomy places the organism in Eukaryota, Viridiplantae, Streptophyta, Magnoliopsida, Zingiberales, Musaceae. The transcript has 3 exons.
GAUAACGAGGCAUGGAAGGUCGAGAUGAGAUCCUCCACCACUUUCGGGAAUCCGAUCUGCAUUUAUUUGGAUCGGAAUUGCCCAAAUCUGCAGAUUCCGAGUCCAAUUCUCGUCAGGGUCACAUCGGAUUGGGUUCGCUCUUGAUUCGUCGACGGGCGUCGCUCCUCUUCUCGGGUGUAAACGAGGGUUCGCGAGAGUUAACCGCACGACGGGGACGGGGAUAACUGAAGCAGCCGUUCUCCUCCUCCAGCCGUGCUAUUCGAGCAGCUCCCUGUCGUCAUGCAUAGGAUCGAACUCCUCGUAUAAUGCCUUCACGCGAUUCGAUUCGCGUGAUCUAGAUGGGAGUAGAUGGAGAGAGUUUUGAUGAUGGUGGAAAAAGUUCUGCAGGACUCGACGGAGGCGACAGUAUCGGUGGAGGUUCUGUGAUGUGGUCUUGGGAAAGGUGGAUGCAAGCAAUUCUUCUACAGAUCACAAGCAGUUGAUACCAACCAACUUCAAAUUGGGAAGCUCAAAGAUUUCCGGAUCAAUCUGUUGAAUGAUUAAAAACUCUAAUUGGAAACACAUGGUGCCUUGUUUUCCGCCCUCAACUUGGAACCAAGUAGUCAUCUCAAACUUGGAGCAUGGUCCAUAUGUGUACCAUAUUUGAAGAACAAACUAUGUUAUAAACAGAUGAUUGAUUUCUCUUA